Molecule: long non-coding RNA, 481 nt
Filed under: Lathyrus oleraceus (garden pea)
Lineage: Eukaryota; Viridiplantae; Streptophyta; Magnoliopsida; Fabales; Fabaceae
Description: Pisum sativum (pea) long non-coding RNA (PSAT_LNC020080)
Source: RNAcentral
UUGGAAGCUUCCAAUAAUGCUUGUAUAAGCGACACAAAGUACCUCAAUAUUUGCACCAAUCCUCAACAAGUCCUAUCCAAUGACCCAAGAACCUGCUCUAGAAACGUCAGUCACAAUCAACAUACAUUGGACAGAGUAAACACUGACAUUAACAACUUUUAGGGUAACGAUACUCACAUAGGAAAAGAGUUGAAGCAGAAUUGGACCCGUAACAAUGAGAAAAGGAAGACGAAGGGGGACAACAUUAACAAAGAUGGUGAAAAAAUAGACAUAACAAAAGAUAAAAGGAAGGAAGAGAAUACUCAGCUAGGGGAACGUAAGGAUCAGUUCGUCAAGAAAAAUGAGGGUAACAACAAUAGUAGUGUGCAUAGUCUGGGAAGCCAAAUGGAGAGAGAUGAUAAUUAACUUAGCAUCCAACAUGAAAAGCUCAUAAAUAAGGAGGAAACUAACUUGAAAAGGAAUGUAAAUAUCAAUCAGGAGG